GGCACAGGUCAGAGUAUUUUGCUCCAAACUGUUUUACUGAAUAUUGCAAUUGUCAUUAGUUAAUCAUUUAUUGCUUAACUUUCAGUUUGCUCCAAACUGUUUUUAUUAAUAUUGCUAUGGUCACUGUAGUUAGACACCUUAUGCUAGACAUUCAGUUUUAAUCCUAACUGUUUUUUCUGGAUACCACUUUAAUUAAACUUUAUUAAUUGACUUUCAGUUUGCUCCAACUGUUUUUAUUAAUAUUGCUAUGGUCA
Molecule: non-coding RNA, 254 nt
Organism: Pelobates cultripes (western spadefoot toad)
Lineage: Eukaryota; Metazoa; Chordata; Amphibia; Anura; Pelobatidae
Source: the annotation of a GenBank genome assembly